RNAcentral lists this long non-coding RNA (1319 nucleotides) under Macaca fascicularis (crab-eating macaque). Its description in RNAcentral is "lncRNA (ENSMFAG00000059659.1)". Lineage: Eukaryota; Metazoa; Chordata; Mammalia; Primates; Cercopithecidae. The record is from RNAcentral.
CUUUAGAGCAGAUUAUAAUGGAUUUAGAAUUGGAAGAUCCACAUUCAAGUCCUGGCCUUGUCCUUUACUGGCUGUGUGGCUUUGAGCAAGUCACUUAAUUGUGCCUGAGCUUCAGUUCCACAUCUAUAAAAUGAUGAUGUGGUAGGUUCCUGUCUUUCAGGGCUGCUCUGCAAUAUGGAGAUGACACAUGUAAAGAUCUUUUGUGAAAUGGUAAAGUCUCAUUAUUAUCCUGAUCCCCCCUGCCCAUUGCCUUUGAGAGCAUUAAUCACAUAUAUAUAUUUUUUUAAUCUUUUAAUUGUCAUUUUAUAGCUCCCCACCGCAGCUGCCCCCCACCCUUCCCUUCGUUGACAACACAAAGUCUGCAGGCUUCAGGGGGACCAGGGAACAAAGCUGGGGCCUGGCAGCCCCACUAUGCUGCCAGCCAGGGAGAACAAGUCACAAUUACAAAUUAUCACAACAAUUAGUGCCUGUACUUGGGGGAUCUGCAAAUUGAGGAGGCCCCAGCUCCUCAUUGUAUAGGGGUCUAUUUGGCAGUGACCUUGCUCUGGAGACGAUGAUAUUCCUUCAGCCUGAGGGAAUUGAUGUUGAUGAACCCGGUGGCAUCAAUCGGCUCAUAAUCACCCUGCACGUUCAUGCUCACCAGUUCCUCGUUGUAGAGAGACAGUGGGGACUCCCGGCUGAGGAUGUACACCUGGCCCUUGAGGACGGACACCUGCACUUUCCCUUCCACUCGCUCCUGGGACUUGGCAAUGCAGUGGCGGACAAAUUCACACUCAGGGCUGUGCCAGAAACCGGUAUACACCAGCUCAGCAAAUUUCAAGCCCAGGCCUUGUUUGAUUUUGCGCACUUCUCGGUCCAUGGUGAAGGCCUUGAUGCCUAAAUGAGCGUGGUAAAGGAUGGUGCCUGCUGGGGUCUCGUAGAUACCUCGGGACUUCAUUCCAAUGAAGCGGUUCUCCACGAUGUCAAUACGGCCCACACUAUGCUUGCCCGCGACUUCGUUCAGGUACAUGAAGAGCUCCAAGGAGGUCUGGUGAGUGGUGCCAUCCUUGACGUUGGUCACCUUCACGGGGACCCCUUUUUUGAACUCGAUCUCGAGGAUGCACGAGGUGUCCAGGCCGCCACUGUAGGCCAGAACCACGGAGCCUUUGCUGGACAUAGUGUCUGGGAUUGGAGGCGUGAGUUCCUGGCGUCUGGAAUCUGUCUUCACGGUGCAGUGAACCACUUGGGCUUGGGCAGCGGUGGCAGGUGGCAGAGCAGGGCCUAAUCACAUAUUUUUAGUGCCUCUUUUGCAUUUAUCUUCUUAGGCAAUCUCCUGAAUG